AGCGGCGGACGGGUGAGUAACGCGUGGGUAACCUGCCUUACACUGGGGGAUAACAGUUAGAAAUGACUGCUAAUACCGCAUAAGCGCACAGGGCUGCAUGGCCUGGUGUGAAAAACUCCGGUGGUGUAAGAUGGACCCGCGUCUGAUUAGGUAGUUGGUGGGGUAACGGCCCACCAAGCCGACGAUCAGUAGCCGACCUGAGAGGGUGACCGGCCACAUUGGGACUGAGACACGGCCCAA
RNAcentral lists this ribosomal RNA (240 nucleotides) under uncultured bacterium. RNAcentral's name for it is "partial 16S ribosomal RNA". It matches the Rfam family "Bacterial small subunit ribosomal RNA", at positions 94 to 334 of the family's 1533-position model. The record is from RNAcentral.